UGGAUCUUCCUGUUAUGUCAAGUUGAGGGUUGAAGAAGGAAGAAAGCCACAGGGACGAACUUCCGUUCUCCCAUAGUCCAUGAAGUGUUCAGACUGCUACUUCUUGCCGGAUAUCAUUCACAAGGGAGGUCACAAUCAAGGUUCUCUUGGACAUCCUAUGUUGCAUUUCUUUCGGAUUAGCAGUCAAGGAAUUUAAGAAGGCACCAUGGAAACGAGAAGCAGAUGGGAUGCCUCUCAAAAGAACACUGCAGUGUUUUCAAUCUGCAGCGCAAGAGUCCUUGAUGCUAUUCUCUAGCGCUCUGGGAAGCAGACCUUGGCCAAGCUGUAGCUCUUGGCUCUGCGUUGAACUAACGGGAUCUGCCAAUCACAGAGCAGCUGGAGGCUUUCUCAUGUCAGCUCCGGUUUAUGCACAACAGCUGCAGUGUAUACGAGAGCCAUCUCUACAACCAAGUACACACCACACUAGAAACAGUAAACUCCCACAGUUACUGCUUCUUCAAGAUAGUCUAAACUCAUGGCCAAAUCAUGUGACACAGCUGUUUUGCGACUAUGCUACUUAAGAAUGAGAACUGUAUUAGAAUGUG
This is a non-coding RNA of Pogona vitticeps (central bearded dragon), 584 nucleotides long. Lineage: Eukaryota; Metazoa; Chordata; Lepidosauria; Squamata; Agamidae. The record is from RefSeq and is a predicted model, not a curated record.